Molecule: long non-coding RNA, 759 nt
Organism: Hippocampus zosterae (dwarf seahorse)
Lineage: Eukaryota; Metazoa; Chordata; Actinopteri; Syngnathiformes; Syngnathidae
Exons: 2
Source: RefSeq, a predicted model, not a curated record
CACGUGCACGCGGGGACCGCUCACGCACGCACGCACGCACACACACGCGGGAUCGAUUUGCACGGGACUUGGUCUGGGAACCGCUGAGAAUCGACUUUAAAAAAAAAUACAAGCCUCGAAAGAAGCAAAGAGCUGGGGCCGAGUUAGGGAGAUGAGCUGAGCCGAGGUGGGAUGAAGCCGAGGGGGGGCGAAAGAGUGACCGCGAGUCGGUGCGGAGAUCUCGCACACAAAACAAAAAAGAAAAAAAAGAUUCCAGGAAAAAGGAUCUCUUCAACCCCCAUACAGAAGCCCUACCAUCGGACAGUCAUGCUUUGAAUUUUUUUUCGUUAGUUUGUUUGCACAAAAUGCGAGAAGCGAGAGCUGAGAGAUCCGCGAAAGAGUCGCCGAAACCACGCGGAGCCAACAGGCUGGACUUGGAGCUCCUUCCCCGGGCUGCGCUCUAUGACCAGCCGCCGCUGCCCGACCCCGGCGAAUCCCUUCGAAACACCUCUCUCGACACCCACGAUACCCCCCCCAACCCACGCACGUCCCGUCCCCGGCAAAAAGCCCGAAUCUGCAUUCAAAGCGCUUCUUUUUUUCCCACGUCUCGAAGGAACCGCUUGUUCUCGCACGUAAGACCAAGAGGAGAGGACGAGCGCUGAUGUGAACACAGGUGAGUUUUGAAACGGGGGGGACCAGCUCCGCUACAAGUCCACCGCCAUGGAGAAGGAAAGACGCUUCGAGAGAGAAUAGGAUCGCGCAGCGACAACAACACACACA